Molecule: long non-coding RNA, 1287 nt
Organism: Cuculus canorus (common cuckoo)
Lineage: Eukaryota; Metazoa; Chordata; Aves; Cuculiformes; Cuculidae
Exons: 4
Source: RefSeq, a predicted model, not a curated record
AAAUCUUUCAACAAGGGGCAGGCAGCCUCUCAGGAAAGAACUGUCACAUCUGCUUACAUCAUUGUGUCUCAUUAAACUGGCAAAUGCAGCUCUUGUAAUCAUAAGUCCAGACAACGCAUCAUCCCACCAGCCAUCAAAAAGACAAAGAAGCUAUUUUGAAUUCAGGAUUCUCAAAAAAGAAAUAGAAAACAACACAAAAGCCCUCACCAGAUUUCAAUUCUUUUGUUAAAAAGAAGAAAACCCAACCAACCCAGAUUCUAAAAGCUUCUAAAAGAUAUAUUUAAGGAAAUACCUCAGCAUUUUUCCAGUACCUUUCAGCUGUGGCGCCAGGACAAGGCAUGACAAUGUCUGUGACUUCUUAGGUUGAUCCAAUCCAGUACCUUCAUCCACUGAAUCUCGUUAUGUGGGUGCUUUGGAGCAAGGACCUUCUACAGCCUGUAAGUCUGGAAGUUGUCUUGAACUCGUAAAAACUCUGCAUCUCCUCCAUCAGGUGUGACAUCCUCUCAGAUUUUAAGUCAUAAACAGAAAAAGAAAAUCAAAGUGAUGCAUACAGCAGUUUGACCUUCACAGCUGCAAAGCCAGAAGAAAUUUUCUCCCUAUAUAGGAAAUAGUGCACAGAUAGGGACCACAGCAGCAUCUGACUGGUCAAAUCUUGUGCCUUUCACACCCCCCAAGACAACAGGAGAAGCAGACUCCACGCCUACACUGCUGGAUCUCAAUUCUCUUCUCACUUUUUACCCCAUCAGACACAAGAACAAGGUCUGGCCUGUACCUGGGGGUUUCCAUUUACUCUCUUCACUUGUGUGACAGCAACGCUGGCUGGAAAGUGAGCGAUAGCGCCUAAUUCUACUACUACAGAAAUAAGGAGGAGUUUCCCCACUGAUUUCAAAAGAUGUAAACCUACUGAACUAAAGCCAGAACACGGAACAGUUAGUGUGGCCUCAGUAUGCAGUCUGCAAAAAGGAAAGAAGUCAUAAACACACAGCAUUGGACUCAGUCAUCAACACUAAAGUCAAGGACUCCCCUUGGCUUUUGCCAGCACACACUACAGCACUGACCCUUUAGAAUUGAGCAGUAGUGCAGAGAUGUCACCAUAACAUCCCUCAUGCUGCAAAGAAAGGUGCAGAAACUGGUUCAGCACUGGCUAAAGCGAGGCAUGGAAUUCAGGUGAACUUCAAUUUGCACCAUGAAGGAUCAUCACAGUGAGACCUCAGGGGUACAGAGGGGUAUGAAUUGAAGUGAAGAUAAUCAAAGAGGGACUCAGUGGGGGUCAGGGUUGCACUUUCU